This 301-nucleotide long non-coding RNA is filed under the name Lathyrus oleraceus (garden pea). RNAcentral describes it as "Pisum sativum (pea) long non-coding RNA (PSAT_LNC033140)". Lineage: Eukaryota; Viridiplantae; Streptophyta; Magnoliopsida; Fabales; Fabaceae. The record is from RNAcentral.
UAUUAAUGUACACUAUUAACUAAAAACACUAUUAAAUAAAAACAUAGGAAGAUUAAACGUAAAAUUUUUAAUAGUUUCAAUGUUUGUUUUAUUAACAAAUAAAAAGAAAUAAAUAAAAAGAAAAAAAUGUACACUAUUAACUAAAAACACUAUUAAAUAAAAACAUAGGAAGAUUAAACGUAAAAUUUUUAAUAGUUUCAAUGUUUGUUUUAUUAACAAAUAAAAAGAAAUAAAUAAAAAGAAAAAAUGAGAACAGAACCUAUUCAUCGUCCUCGAGCUCUCUCCAUCUCACUCACCUCUC